UACGUAGGGUGCGAGCGUUAAUCGGAAUUACUGGGCGUAAAGCGUGCGCAGGCGGUUUUGUAAGCCAGAUGUGAAAUCCCCGGGCUCAACCUGGGAAUGGCAUUUGGGACUGCAAGGCUGGAGUGUGGCAGAGGGGACUAGAAUUCCUGGUGUAGCAGUGAAAUGCGUAGAUAUCAGGAGGAAUACCGAUGGCGAAGGCAGGUCCCUGGGCUGACACUGACGCUCAUGCACGAAAGCGUGGGGAGCAAACAGG
This 253-nucleotide ribosomal RNA is filed under the name uncultured bacterium. RNAcentral's name for it is "partial 16S ribosomal RNA". It matches the Rfam family "Bacterial small subunit ribosomal RNA", at positions 524 to 776 of the family's 1533-position model. The record is from RNAcentral.